GAUGAACGCUGGCGGCGUGCUUAACACAUGCAAGUCUAACGAUGAAGCCCAGCUUGCUGGGUGGAUUAGUGGCGAACGGGUGAGUAACACGUGAGUAACCUGCCCUUAACUCUGGGAUAAGCCUGGGAAACUGGGUCUAAUACCGGAUAGGAGCGCCUACCGCAUGGUGGGUGUUGGAAAGAUUUAUCGGUUUUGGAUGGACUCGCGGCCUAUCAGCUUGUUGGUGAGGUAAUGGCUCACCAAGGCGACGACGGGUAGCCGGCCUGAGAGGGUGACCGGCCACACUGGGACUGAGACACGGCCCAGACUCCUACGGGAGGCAGCAGUGGGGAAUAUUGCACAAUGGGCGAAAGCCUGAUGCAGCGACGCCGCGUGAGGGAUGACGGCCUUCGGGUUGUAAACCUCUUUCAGUAGGGAAGAAGCGAAAGUGACGGUACCUGCAGAAGAAGCACCGGCUAACUACGUG
RNAcentral lists this ribosomal RNA (466 nucleotides) under uncultured bacterium. RNAcentral's name for it is "partial 16S ribosomal RNA". It matches the Rfam family "Bacterial small subunit ribosomal RNA", at positions 28 to 507 of the family's 1533-position model. The record is from RNAcentral.